CUGAGUGAGGGUCUCUGGCCCGACCUCCAACCCUUUGUGAUUUAAACCAAUUGUUGCCUCGGGGGUGACCCGGCUUCACUGUCGGAUGCCCCCGGUGGACCACCUUAAAACACUGCAUCUUUGCAUCUGAUUUAAAAGUUUAAUUGAUUA
This 150-nucleotide unclassified non-coding RNA is filed under the name uncultured Capnodiales. RNAcentral's name for it is "sequence contains ITS1". The record is from RNAcentral. Lineage: Eukaryota; Fungi; Ascomycota; Dothideomycetes; Capnodiales.